AUAAUCUACUCUGCUGUAGGUGUCUUUUUAAGAAUAACUAUUAUUUUAAGAAUAACUAUUAAAAGAUGAAACGGGAAGUCGGUGCGCGUUAUUGCUAUGCCGACGCUGCCCCCGCAACGGUAAUCAGGUAUAAAAACCAUAUUAUGCCACUUUGUUUUACAUGGGAAGGCGUGGUUUUGGAGUUUUACUCAGCCUGAAAGCCCGGAGACCGGCCUACUGCAACAUAGCAGA
This 231-nucleotide non-coding RNA is filed under the name Achromatium sp. WMS3. RNAcentral also lists the same sequence under 1 other name. Lineage: Bacteria; Pseudomonadati; Pseudomonadota; Gammaproteobacteria; Thiotrichales; Thiotrichaceae. The record is from RNAcentral.